AACGAACGCUGGCGGCAUGCCUAACACAUGCAAGUCGAACGAGACCUUCGGGUCUAGUGGCGCACGGGUGCGUAACGCGUGGGAACCUGCCCUUAGGUUAGGAAUAACUCCCUGAAAGGGGUGGUAAUACCGGAUAAUGUCUCCGGACCAAAGAUUUAUCGCCUUUGGAUGGGGCCGCGUUGUUUUAGCUACUUGGUAGGGUAAACGCCUACCGAGGCGACGAUCCAUAGCUGGUCUGAGGGGAUGAUCAGCCACCCUGGGACUGAGACCCGGUCCAGACUCCUACGGGAAGCAGCAGUGGGGACUAUUGGACGAUGGGCGAGAGCAUGAUCCAGCAAUGCCGCGUGAGUGAUGAAGGCCUUAGGGUUGUAAAGCUCUUUUACCCGGGAUGAUAAUGACGGUACCGUGAGAAUAAGCUCCGGCUAACUCCGUG
Molecule: ribosomal RNA, 433 nt
Filed under: uncultured bacterium
Lineage: Bacteria
Description: partial 16S ribosomal RNA
Rfam family: Bacterial small subunit ribosomal RNA
Source: RNAcentral